Molecule: RNA transcript, 2717 nt
Organism: Notolabrus celidotus (New Zealand spotty)
Lineage: Eukaryota; Metazoa; Chordata; Actinopteri; Labriformes; Labridae
Gene: sfxn5a
Gene name: sideroflexin 5a
Exons: 15
Source: RefSeq, a predicted model, not a curated record
GGAAGAACUACACCACCCAUGAUGCACCGCGGUGUUUGAACUCUGCAGCUACAUCUGAUAAAGUUGUGGUAAACACAUGACAGCUGUUUUUAACCCACAGCGGUUAGAUAGAAGCAAACAGCUGGUGUGGAUUUAAGCACGUUUGCAGCAGAAUGUCUGAAUAUCCGACCUUUCAGUAUGGCAGGUCUCGUUUCGACCAGAACACAUUCUUUGGUCGCUUCAGGCACUUCCUGGAUGUGAUUGACCCGAGCACGCUGUUCAUCACAGAGACGCGGCUGCAGGAAUCUGUGAAGCUGCUCAACCAGUUCAAACAAGGAACUCUGCCUCCAGGAGUCUCAGAUGCUCAGCUUUGGCACGCUCAAAAAAUAAAGCAGGCCAUCAUCCACCCUGACACAGGGGAGAAGAUCCUCAUGCCCUUUCGGAUGUCAGGUUUUAUUCCAUUCGGCACACCUGUGGUUGUUGGCCUCCUUCUCCCCAAUCAAACACUAGUGACCACUAUCUUCUGGCAGUGGUUAAACCAGAGCCACAACGCCUGUGUGAACUACUGCAACCGCAAUGCCUCAAAGCCGGCUCCAGUCUCUAAAUUCUUCCAGGGAUACCUCGGAGCGGUGACCAGCGCCGUCUCCAUCGCAGUUGGUUUGAACGUUUUAAUCAAGAAAGCCAGCCGCUUCAGCCCAACCACCAGGCUUUUGGUGCAGAGGUUCAUCCCCUUCCCAGCAGUGGCGACUGCAAACGUCUGCAACGUGGUGCUCAUGAGACACUCGGAGCUGUCGGAGGGUAUCAGUGUGCUCGACGACAACGGGAACGUGGUGGGAACAUCCAAAGUAGCUGCCAGGCAUGCUCUUUUAGAGACGGCUCUAACCAGAGUAGUCCUACCUAUGCCCAUCCUGGUGCUCCCUCCCAUGAUCAUGGCCGCACUGGAGAAGCUUCCUCUCCUGCAGAGACGGCGGAGGCUGGUCCUCCCGAUCCACAGCCUGGUGUGCCUCGCCGCCUUCGGGCUGGCUUUGCCCCUCGCCAUCAGUCUCUUCCCACAGAUGUCUGAGAUCAGUGUGAACGAGCUGGAGCCAGAGAUCUCCAUGGCGACAGAUUGUAAGAUUUUGACGUACAACAAAGGCCUGUGAGUGAUCUCUGCUGCCAGACACACGAAGACGAAGACCCGCUGCUCGUCCUGGAGCAGAUCUCCUGAAGCUGGAUGAAUCAUGGUUAAUAUCCACAUACCUGUGCUGGUUACUCACUGCUCCAGUCAAGUUAACCACACACAGCCUACACACGAGAUGCCAUCUGUUAUCUGUGCUUGUUUACAUGCAGGUAGUAGAGCAAUACAGCGUUACGGCUGCAGCCAUGUUACUCGUACUGAUCUUGUUUCCUAUUGUCUAGAUCUUUGCUUGUGUUCUUGUAUGUACGUCGCUUUGGAUAAAAGCGUCUGCUAAAUGACUUUGUAACAUUGUAACAUUAACCAGAGCUACAACUGGAGGCUUCACUUCAGCUCAGACACAACUCAUGACCAUAAUUUUUCACCAACAAUCGUAUAAGAAUAUCAAUAAUAAAGCUAACUGACUAGUAUAUCUGGUGCCGACCAUCAAGGGUGAUAUAGUUUGAUCAUUUAGUUGAUGAAACAAACAUUCACAUGUGCACAAAACUCCUGCAAUCAGCUUAAAUUUCGCCCAGACUUUAUACAGGAUUGUCCCUGGCAGCCUCUUGGCACAAUUUCUGCAAGAUAUCAGGAUUUAUAUCAUUUGAGGAAUGCAAACCUGGAAGAGCAACAUGUAUGGGGAUGAUUAGAAACAGGUUGAAGAAGAAGAAGAAUCAUUUUCAAGACGUAGCAGUAAACAUGUUUACAAGAUUGAAAACCAAAAUCAGAAUCACUCAUAUGAGACAAAUCGCGUGAAGCUGUAACACCAGGCCAGAGUUAUGUCAUAAUUAAGAUUUGUACUUUUUUAUUCUCUACUUUUCCAAAAUAAUAAGCUAACAACCAAAAAAGAAUGUAUAAGCUUUAAAUAAAUAUAAUAAGUGUGUUAAGAUGGAGGUAUAUGUAAAUGAACAUAGUUAGGAUUGUAGAUGUUAUACUGUGAAUGGAAUCAGGAUGAAUUAUAAUCUGUAUUUCUGUGAACUUGUUUUUUAUGAUGAUACUUUUAAGUAUGUUAAAUGUUAAAACCACUGAUUUUAUAUGAAACAAAUGAUCAGAAGAAAAUGUCACAUUAUGAAAGUUUUAUAUCAGAAUUGUUUUUUUUCCUCUUUAUUUUUUAUCUUGUAAAUCGAGUAUAAACAACUUUUACACUUAAACCAUGUUUGUCUUAAACUUGAUAAUUCCCUUUAAUAUAAAAAAAGUCAUUUUUAACUCACCUGUGAAAUAUAACAUGUUGUUUUCUGCAUUGAUGCUAUGAUUAUUUAAAGCUGCUAAUGCUACUGUAACUCCCAGUGUGUGUGUGUGUGUGUGUGUGUGUGUGUGUGUGCUUUGGCUUCCUCUGAACUGGAAGCUGUCACUCUGAAAUCCAACAUGUUUACUCACUCACUAUGUCUACAUACUUUGAUGCCAGCUGAAAUGAUGAUGUGUUUUAUAAGCUUCGACUACAAAUGACCUUGUAAUCAUGAAAUGACAAAGUGACGACUGUAUUUACACACAUGUGAAAAUCACUGCCAAGGUGUCUACUGUAAGAACGCUACCUCGUCUCUGUGUUUGUGUUUGCACUUGAUUUAUAUAAACUUUCUGUCUUCAG